Molecule: ribosomal RNA, 253 nt
Filed under: uncultured bacterium
Lineage: Bacteria
Description: partial 16S ribosomal RNA
Rfam family: Bacterial small subunit ribosomal RNA
Source: RNAcentral
UACGGGGGGGGCAAGCGUUGUUCGGAAUUACUGGGCGUAAAGGGCUCGUAGGCGGCCAACUAAGUCAUACGUGAAAUCCCUCGGCUUAACCGGGGAACUGCGUCCGAUACUGGAUGGCUUGAGUUUGGGAGAGGGAUGCGGAAUUCCAGGUGUAGCGGUGAAAUGCGUAGAUAUCUGGAGGAACACCGGUGGCGAAGGCGGCAUCCUGGACCAACACUGACGCUGAUGAGCGAAAGCCAGGGGAGCAAACGGG